Molecule: microRNA precursor, 60 nt
Filed under: Oryctolagus cuniculus (rabbit)
Lineage: Eukaryota; Metazoa; Chordata; Mammalia; Lagomorpha; Leporidae
Description: Ocu-Mir-181-P2b_pre stem-loop
Rfam family: mir-181 microRNA precursor family
About the family: In this case the mature sequence comes from the 5' arm of the precursor.
Source: RNAcentral
AACAUUCAUUGCUGUCGGUGGGUUUGAGUGCAAAUCAACUCACUGAUCAAUGAAUGCAAA